RNAcentral lists this ribosomal RNA (545 nucleotides) under Harringtonia lauricola. RNAcentral's name for it is "eukaryotic LSU rRNA". It matches the Rfam family "Eukaryotic large subunit ribosomal RNA", at positions 44 to 592 of the family's 3401-position model. Lineage: Eukaryota; Fungi; Ascomycota; Sordariomycetes; Ophiostomatales; Ophiostomataceae. The record is from RNAcentral.
CAAUAAGCGGAGGAAAAGAAACCAACAGGGAUUGCCCCAGUAACGGCGAGUGAAGCGGCAACAGCUCAAAUUUGAAAUCUGGCCCCCCGCGGGCCCGAGUUGUACUUUGGAGAGGACGCUUCUGGCGCGGCGCCGUCCGAGUUCCCUGGAACGGGACGCCGGAGAGGGUGAGAGCCCCGUACGGGCGGCCGCCUAGCCUCUGCGAAGCUCCUUCGACGAGUCGAGUAGUUUGGGAAUGCUGCUCAAAAUGGGAGGUAAAUUUCUUCUAAAGCUAAAUACCGGCCAGAGACCGAUAGCGCACAAGUAGAGUGAUCGAAAGAUGAAAAGCACUUUGAAAAGAGGGUCAAACAGUACGUGAAAUUGUUGAAAGGGAAGCGCCUGUGGCCAGACUUGCGCCCCGCGGACCACCCGGCGCCUCGCGCGCCGGGGCACGCCAGCGGGGCGCAGGCCAGCAUCGGCUCUCUCGGGGGGACAAAGGCCGCGGGAACGUAGCGCCCUCGCGGCGUGUUAUAGCCCGCGGCGCCAUGCCCCCGGGGGGGCCGAGG